This 450-nucleotide ribosomal RNA is filed under the name uncultured bacterium. Its description in RNAcentral is "partial 16S ribosomal RNA". It matches the Rfam family "Bacterial small subunit ribosomal RNA", at positions 338 to 795 of the family's 1533-position model. The record is from RNAcentral.
CCUACGGGUGGCUGCAGUGGGGAAUAUUGGACAAUGGGGGAAACCCUGAUCCAGCAAUGCCGCGUGUGUGAAGAAGGCCUGCGGGUUGUAAAGCACUUUCGGUUGGGAAGAAAAGUUUGGCGCCAAUACCGCCGAACCUUGACGUUACUGACAGAAGAAGCACCGGCUAACUCUGUGCCAGCAGCCGCGGUAAUACAGAGGGUGCAAACGUUACUCGGAAUCACUGGAGGUAGAGCGUGCAUUCGGGUGCGAAAUCCCCGGGCUUAACCUGGGAACUGCAUUCGAUACUACAUGGCUAGAGUAUGGUAGAGGGAAGUGGAAUGUCCGGUGUAGCGGUGAAAUGCGUAGAUAUCGGAAGGAACACCAAUGGCGAAGGCAGCUUCCUGGACUAAUACUGACACUGAGGCACGAAAGCGUGGGUAGCAAACAGGAUUAGAUACCCGAGUAGUC